Gasterosteus aculeatus aculeatus (three-spined stickleback) is the source of this 1722-nucleotide long non-coding RNA. Lineage: Eukaryota; Metazoa; Chordata; Actinopteri; Perciformes; Gasterosteidae. The record is from Ensembl.
UAUAAAGCCAGGCUCCGGUAAGAAUUAACCUCAGUAUCUUCAACAUCUCCGCAGAGGACACCUGGACAGCUCUGAAGCUCUGAGGCCGGCCGCGGCAAAACCACUGGUCACUGUUUUUUUUUUUUUCCUUUGACUGUGGUCAGGCUUCCUGGGGGGCUCCCCACCCAUCGUAGUGGCCCUAGGAUGGUGUAUUUCUGGUGACGUGAGGGUCUACCAUCCGGCGAAUUAGCUGAUGAAGUUCCAAGCUUUUCAGGUGUCAACAUGUUACAUAUUUUAACUUUGUUUCUACAGCAUUUCACUGAAAUGACGGAAAUAUUCUUAUACUGUAUGUAACCAAACUGGAGACAUCUGAAACAACUUGAACUCAUCAAGCUAUUUCAGUCGGGUGUAACCCUUUCAUGUCAGCAGAUUGCUGCUCACUAUGUUGAGCAGUUUGGGGAGUGUCCUGCAGCAAUUGUAUAGAUCUGCAUUCUGGGAAGACGCUGGUCACCCACGUAGUAGCCCUGGCUUGUCUAAGUCGAUGCUUACAGUGGGCGUUUGGACUGUGGGAAAGACUCAGUCCCGCUCUAUAAACCCUACAUUGGGGACCUCCGUUGCUAUGUAGUGGGAAGCCAUCGCGGCCCAGAGGAAACUUUCCUCUGGAGGACUGUUUCCUCUGGAGCUUGAGUGGCUGCUGUAAGCAUCGUUCAAAGAUGAUCGGUCGGUCUUCAAUGCUACAAGGAGACAGGAAGUCUGCGUGCCAGUCUGCCUCAGAGCUCACUUCAGGCUUCUUGUGUGUCCGAUGUAGGAUGCUGUUGUAAGAUACUCACACCAAACUCUUGUUGUUUAAAACGGCAGCAUAUCUGACCUGUAACUUUGGAUCCAGAAUAGACUUUUACUGCUUCCGCUUCUCCUAAUUUGGCUCAAGAUGUUUGGUGUCACCAAAAUGAUUUUCGGAUUAACUAGUCUCUCCUUGAAUAUUGUAAACAUUAAUUAUUACUAAAGAGUUAUAAGUAUGAAAUAGAUUUUAUUACACGAGAAAAAGGGAAAAGUAGAUACAUUGUAGGUACAUCUCUCGGCUCCUGACCCCGGAUUCCAGCCCUUCGACGUCUGACGCCGUAACUGCCGAUUCCUCCAGGCCGUCCUCCAGAUCGUCCUCCAGGCCGUCCUCCAGAUCGUCCUCCAGGCCGUCCUCCAGAUUGUCCGCCAGGCCGUCCUCCAGAUCGUCCUCCAGAUCGUCCUCCAGGCCGUCCUCCAGACCGCCCUCCAGAUCGUCCUCCAGAUCGUCCUCCAGGCCGUCCUCCAGACCCUCCUCCAGGCCGCCCUCCAGAUCGUCCUCCAGGCCGUCUUCCAGAUCGUCCUCUAGACCGUCCUCCAGAUCGUCCUCCAGAGAACUCCCGGUCACUCGACUGUGGUCCCCCGGACUGUCCUCUCCCUCCCACCCCAUAUUGUGUUUAGGUUAUUUCUCUGUAUGGCCCAACCACCCACCUUUGUGUUGAAUCAUUGACUCUUCUGUGUUGUGUUCCUAAAUAAAGUUUAUUUUGUUCGUAAAGUCUGCGAUUGGGUCCUACUUCUGCCAUCAACUGUGAUAGAGAAUGAUGCAGCUUGUGUACUAACAAGAACUAAGAAAAGGGAUCAUAUUACUCCUGUUUUAGCAUCUCUGCACUGGCUCCCUGUUAAAUCAAUAAUAGAAUUUAAGGUACUUCUCCCCAACUAAAAGGCACUUGCUGGUCAAGUGCCCUC